AUUGAACGCUAGCGGGAUGCCUUACACAUGCAAGUCGAACGGCAGCGCGGACUUCGGUCUGGCGGCGAGUGGCGAACGGGUGAGUAAUGUAUCGGAACGUGCCCAGUAGCGGGGGAUAACUACUCGAAAGAGUAGCUAAUACCGCAUACGCCCUACGGGGGAAAGGGGGGGAUAGCACGACCUCUCACUAUUGGAGCGGCCGAUAUCGGAUUAGCUAGUUGGUGAGGUAAAGGCUCACCAAGGCGACGAUCCGUAGCUGGUUUGAGAGGACGACCAGCCACACUGGGACUGAGACACGGCCCAGACUCCUACGGGAGGCAGCAGUGGGGAAUUUUGGACAAUGGGGGCAACCCUGAUCCAGCCAUUCCGCGUGUGCGAUGAAGGCCUUCGGGUUGUAAAGCACUUUUGGCAGGGAAGAAAUCGCACGGAUUAAUACUCUGUGUGGAUGACGGUACCUGCAGAAUAAGCACCGGCUAACUACGUGCCAGCAGCCGCGGUAA
Molecule: ribosomal RNA, 500 nt
Filed under: uncultured bacterium
Lineage: Bacteria
Description: partial 16S ribosomal RNA
Rfam family: Bacterial small subunit ribosomal RNA
Source: RNAcentral